CAGAGUUCCAAAUUCCUGGAGGAGAGAGGUCCAAGGAGGGGCCUCUGCCGCUGGGAGACUCCGGAGGUAGUGUGGCAUCUGCUGUUCUCCGACCUUGUCCCCCACAACACAGCCCAUCUUGGACGCCCGGGAAUGGAAUUGCAGCUUUUAAUGCCUCCAUUUUACACAUGAGAAAACUGAGAUUCAUUAAGUAACCUAAGGAGCAAGUAAAUGACAGAGGCAGAAUGAAAAUCCAGGUGGUUGAGUCCAGGUUCCAUGCUACUACUCCACAUGGGCUCUGAAGGGGCCUAUUUAUUGAACUCUGUAACCGUGUGGCCAAGUUCCUACAACCUGAAUUCUGAUUUGGAAUAACUCAGAGGAGCAGUGAAGAGGAGGCAGACAUCGAAGGGGAAACACCUGCAGCCAUGAAGCUGGACCAUGUCUUCUGUGACAAGGACAGCAACUUCCACACUUCCAGAAGAACGACCCUGAUCCCAGAACCCUGACAGAAGAGGCAAAGCAGCUUCAGAGAGCAGUGAGUUGUCUUUGAGCCAGGUGAUUAAACCCCUCUGAUUUUGCUGGCCCUAAUCAUAAUCCAACUGGUCUAGAUGCUACCCCUUGUGCAAGCCUAAGCUGGGAGCUUCCUGAGGAACUUCUGGGCCUCAGAGAACAUGGCCAGGAGCUUCCCAAAGCGUAUGAAUGGAGGCACAAUCCUGACAGUGCAGACUUUGGCUCCUGCCAUCAAAACUGGUGCAGUGCCCACUGCCCACCAAGACAGUCCCUGGGGCCAGCACCAACAAGGAGUCUCGCUGAGUAUCAGAGGCAAGAAAUAGGAGGCAACAGCCAUGCAGGUGACAAAUAGGCAAACAAGAGUCCAUUUUCCUUCCUUCUGACCAAGCUACCCUGAAUAUCCUUGUCCAGAAAUGAAGUGAGCCCCAGCCACCUACAGCCAGUCUUCAAGUGGGGGUGAUGGUGCUGUGGGAAAAUUCCCUGUGAUGGAACUCCAGAGUGCCCCUGUCCAGGACACAGUGACCAAAAGCUUGGUAAAACCAAGGGCCAGCGGACCAGAGUCCCUCCCUCAGGGAACCCCAAAACCAAAGACCUGGAGCUCUGACAAUAGUGAGAAGAGCAGAAACAGUUCUUCAGGGAGGGAAGGGCCCCAGAUGGCCAACUCAGCCCCCAGCUUGGGUUCAAACCCUACUGGGAGGGAGUGAAUUACAGAGAGUAACCCUUGGCUUAUCCUGACCUGUUCUCAGGUGUCAAAGGCUUCUCCCAGGUCAGACAUCAUCCUUCCAGUUCCCUCUACUCUGGACACCAGAUUCCCUAGACGUCAAGCAGCAGACUCAGUCCCAACAAGCAACAGGGAUCUUGUUUCCCAAUGCAAGUAGAAAAGAGGCUGCAUGAAGCACCGCAGCUCAGAAGCCCAAGAAGUGGGUCAUGGGCCUCCGAAGCACAAUCCUUCUAAUCAAUAGUUCCCACCACCUCCUGGGAAAACCUAGUCCGUGAGUAAAACCAGAUGCAGGCCUUGGUGGGCAAGGUCCUGAUGGAGUUGCUGAAGCAGGAAAGAAACGGCCAUGGACAUCACCAAGAUCAGCAAGAAUUAUUGCAGGAGCUGCAAAGCAGGAGCUUCCUGGGUCCUGUUGGCAACGAAGGCCCCCAGGAGCAAGCGGAAGGAGAAGCUGAAGGCUGGGGAAGGUGGAGAUGGUGCCGGUUCCCAAGAAAAUGCCUCUAGGAUUCCAAGGGGAAACAAAAAAGCAGUGCAAGUGGUAAUGGCAAAGAAAAAAAUGAAACUCCAGAGUGCCUGGAUGUGCCUGACUCCCACGGAUCCAAGGGCAAGCCAUAAGGGGAUUUGGGAAUGGUGAAGAUUAAGGGUGGAGGUCAAAGCAACCUGAAAACAAGGAGAAGCAAUCUAAAAAGGAAAGACAAAGGACAGCACAAAAUGGAAAAGAAGAAAGCAAAAAGAAAACCUUCAUCCAAAAUCCCCAAGACAUCAUCCAGGAGAAUAAGGAGAUGGCAGACAAGUAGGAGUUGUGAGGGGUCUGUGGCACAGGUGCAUAACCAAGUGGGGAGCAUCCUCAUGUCUCGGGCUGGAACUACAUUUUUAACUCCAGUCUCUCACAGCAAAGUCUGGCCAGACUCAGGGGCUGGAUGCUGGACACGCUAGUGAGCCUUAAGGGAGGCUGGUCCAAUAUGAAAGUGUAUCCUGAUCCCUUGACCUUACCCUACUUCGCCUAACACAGAAUGUUUUGUACAGAUGCGCUCAGUGGGUGAGUGUGUGUGUGUGUGUGUGUGGGUAGUUGUCAAAGCCAAUGUGCCCAAAAACCUCAGGACUUCCCAUUACCCUGUUUUACUUUGUCUCUGACAGGUCCUCAGGAUUUCUCCUUGGUUUCAGUUUUACCAUUGUGUGUUUUUUUUUUUAAGAAAUUGGAAAAAUCAUUAAAAGAAAAAAAGCAUUCAAUACAUUUGUCUAACUGAACAUUAGAGCUCAACAACACAGCACAUUGUAAAGAAUCACUUGCUUGAGCUCACGAUUUUUUGGCUGAUGAUGGGGAGCUGUGACUUGCUACCACCACCCAGAAUUGCGAGAGUAUCAUAACAUAGAUUAUGAGCGAUGGAAAAAUCACAAUUAAAACUGUGAAUAUGGCUUCCAUUGAAUAUGUAUAAAAUCUGUUCUGUGUAUCAGGCACAGGAAUGGAAACACAUGUAGCCAAUAUGCACAUGCAAGUGGAAACACUGGGAGGCCUACAGGGUUUGCACACACAGGGUUUGGAAAGAGAAGAGGAAAUCCAUGGGCUGGGAUAGAUACAGAAAUUAUAGCCUUAAGUGACUAUAUUAGAAUAAAAUACUAAAAAUCAGUCAUCACAAUUCCCUUUUAACAAUUAAAAAGAAAAAAACAUGAAAUUACAUAAAAUAAAGACGAGCAAAAAGAUAACAGGAGAUAUGAAAUGCUUUUUUUCGGGUUUCUUUAUACUCAGAAGAUUAACCCUACAGUAAGUAAAGAGUUCAACAAAUAGUAUGAGGAGAAAAAAAUUCCUCAACUACAGAGACAAGGGCUGUAAACAAUAAUCAAAGCUCAAGAUGUCAAUUUUACUCCUAUGGAAUACAUUUUAGAUGCUCUGUUAGUUAUGACAGAUUAGGGAAAACAUGGUAUUUGUCUUUUUGGGACUGGCUUAUUUCACUAGGGAUAAUGGCUUCUAGUUGCAUCCAUGUUGUUGCAAAAACAGGAUUUCAUUUUUUUUACCACUGAGUAGUAUUCCAUAGUGUAUAAAUGCCAUAAUGUGAAAUGCUUAUUAAAAAGUACCACAAACACAGAUAUACUUUUUAAUGUUAACAAAAUUAGUAAACCAUGAGUAAAAAUAAUUAAGGAAACACAGGGGGGCGGAGCCAAGAUGGCGGAAUAGUGAGGGCGCGCACCGAUAGUCCAGGAAAAUUUAGUUUAAUAAAAGGGGAGUUACGGUAGCCUCAGAAAAAAGAACCAGGAAAAUAUUGCAGAGGAAACUCUUCUGGAUUGAGUGGCCGUGAAUCGGAGGACCUACUGGGAGAACAAGGUCGCCCACCGCGCGGAAGCCGAGCCGCGGGACCGAGCCGCGGAAGCCGAGCUGCGGGACCGAGCUGCGCAAGCCACAGGCUCUGCGCGCCAGUGCUCAAAGGGGAGUGCAUGCCACACAGACAACAGCGGGGAGACUUGGAACGUCCAGGGCUCCGAGUCCACACAUCGGCGCUGGAAGGGGAGUGGACCUGCGUGGAGAGCGUGGGAGCCCACAGUUCGGGACACCAGCGGCAGACUCAACACACCAGCGCUGGAACGCGAGGUGAGCCGAACCUCAAUAGCUCGAGACACCGGCAGGCAAGUGGAGAGAGGAGACUAGAGGGAACGACCCUGGGGGGGGGGAACUUCACCAGGCUAACUGGAAGAGAGAGAGAGGAAAAAAAAAAAGGUGACUGGUAUGAACACGGGUUUCUCUCUCUCCGCUCACCUCUCAAGGGCGAGCAAGACAAAGAGCAGGCACCAUCUUGGACAUACGUCAUAAGCAGAGCGACCUCAGGUCUGUACCGGCCCUGAGCCUAGCAGAAAAACCUGACUCUGGGUGGGGCAAAUUAACAGGAGAUUAGGACCUAGUAAAUUUGUGGUGCUACUGAACUGAGACUGUGAAAAAAGAGACGGUGGGGGAGAGAACUCACGGAAUUCACAUGAGCACUCUCCAGAGAUGCUACAAUUCCGUAACUUUGGCAACCCAGUGGGAGACUGAAGGAGAAGUUGAGCCCACUCUGAGGGCCGAACAGAUUCCCUGUGUGGUCCUUGGGAAAGAGCUUCCGAUCUCUGGCUCCUGUGGGUAUAUCAUUUGCCUGCUAACUACCUCCAACUUCGUUCAGCUGUGCAGAAUAACUUCCCUUUUGAAUCAAAAAAAAAAGAAAGAGAGAGAGAGGGGUUUACCACGCCUAACCUGGGAGUGUCACCUUUGGCACACCAAACAGAGCUCUCAGGCCACAACCAUCUCAAGUCCUAAGGUUCCAUCAAAAACAGAUAGUCCACUUAAUCUAGAGUCAUAGUAUAACAAGAAAAAGCACCACAGUGAAGAAACCAAAUAUCUCCAAUAUGCCAAAUAACAAACGCAAAAACCAAGGUAAUAAAAACAAAGAAGUCACCAUGAAGCCCUCAAAUGAAAAAGACACCCCAAUUCAAGAUUAUGAAGAUGAUGACAUAGAAGAAAUGCAAGAAGCAGAUCUCAAAAAAUUGAUAAGAACAUUAAGAAGUUCUCAAAAACAAAUUCUUGAACUACAGAAAUCCUUAAUGGACAAGAUAGAAAAUCUCUCUCGUGAAAAUGAAAUAUUAAGGAGGAAUCAAAAUGAAACGAAACAACUAGUACAACAGGAAACUGGGAUAGUGACUGAAGUGAAGAAUUCAAUAGAUCAAAUGAAAAACACAAUAGAGAGCCUUACAAACAGAAUGGGUGAAGCAGAAGAGAGAAUAUCGGACUUAGAAGACAGAGAACAGGAAAGGAUACAGUCAGACCAAAGAAAAGAAGAGGAAAUUAGAAAUCUAAAACAUAUUGUCGGGAAUCUUCAGGAUACUAUUAAAAAACCCAACAUUCGGGUUCUAGGAGUUCCUGAAGGCAUGGAGAGGGAGAAAGGAUUAGAAGGCCUUUUUAGUGAGAUAUUAGCAGAAAAUUUCCCAGGUUUGGAGAAGGACAGAGAAAUCCUAGUACAGGAAGCUCACAGAACCCCUAAUAAACACGACCAAAAGAGAUCCUCACCACGACACGUUGUAAUUAAACUCUCCACAGUGAAACAUAAAGAGAAGAUCCUAAAAAGUGCAAGAGAGAAACGUCAGAUUACUCUCAGAGGAUCUCCAAUCAGACUCACAGCUGACUUCUCAUCAGAAACUCUACAAGCUAGGAGGGAAUGGCGAGAUAUAGCCCAGGUACUAAGAGAGAAAAACUGCCAGCCCAGAAUAUUAUAUCCUGCAAAGCUAUCAUUUGUGAAUAAAGGUGAAAUAAAGACUUUUCAUAGCAAACAGAAAUUGAAAGAAUUUGUUGCCACUCGUCCAGCCCUGCAAAAGAUGCUUAAAGAUGUGUUACACACAGAAACAAAGAAACAUGGGCCGGCGCCGCGGCUCACUAGGCUAAUCCUCCGCCUAGCAGCGCCGGCACACCGGGUUCUAGUCCCGGUCGAGGCGCCGGAUUCUGUCCCGGUUGCCCCUCUUCCAGGCCAGCCCUCUGCUGUGGCCAGGGAGUGCAGUGGAGGAUGGCCCAGGUGCUUGGGGCCUGCACCCCAUGGGAGACCAGGAAAAGCACCUGGCUCCUGGCUCCUGCCAUCGGAUCAGCGCGGUGCGCCGGCCGCAGCGCGCCGGCCGCGGCGGCCAUUGGAGGGUGAACCAACGGCAAAAGGAAGACCUUUCUCUCUGUCUCUCUCUCUCACUGUCCACUCUGCCUGUCAAAAAAAUAAAAGAAAUAAAAAAAAAAAAACAAAGAAACACGGUCAUCAAUAUGAAAGAAGGUAAAGGAAGGAAACCAAGGAAGGAAAGCUCACAGCAAAAGAUCACAGGGAAUUCAAAGCAUAUAUUAGAACUUAUCUUUGGCAAAUGGCAGGGCAAAGUUACCACUUAUCAUUAGUCACAUUGAACAUGAAUGGCCUGAACUGUCCAGUUAAAAGACACCGAUUGGCUGAUUGGGUUAAGGAACAAAACCCAUCUAUUUGCUGCUUACAAGAAACUCAUCUUUCCAACAAAGAUCCAUACAGACUGAAAGUGAAAGGCUGGAAAAAGAUAUACCAUGCCAACAGAAAUGAAAAAAGAGCGGGCGUAGCCAUCUUAAUAUCAGACACCAUAAACUUUACCACAAAAACCGUUAAGAGAGACAAAGAGGGACACUACAUAAUGAUUAAGGGAUCAAUUCAACAGGAAGAUAUAACAAUUAUCAAUGUAUAUGCACCUAACUACAGGGCACCGGUUUAUCUAAAAGAUUUGUUAACGGACUUAAAGGGAGACUUAGACCCCAAUACAAUAGUACUGGGGGACUUCAAUACUCCACUCUCAGAAAUAGACAGAUCAAUAGGACAGAAGAUCAACAAGGAUACAGCAGAUUUAAACGACA
Molecule: non-coding RNA, 6572 nt
Organism: Oryctolagus cuniculus (rabbit)
Lineage: Eukaryota; Metazoa; Chordata; Mammalia; Lagomorpha; Leporidae
Source: RefSeq, a predicted model, not a curated record